GAUGUCUUCAUACUAGAAGCAAACUUCUAUGAUGUAUGAGUUGCAUGUAAUGGAACUUUAUACCGAGCACCGAUAGGCUAGCUAUGAGUGGUGAUGCCUUCUUUCGGGAAGGGCGGAGGUUCACGUAAUUCUCAUGAGAUGAGACUGUCCGGCUUGCCGGGUAUGGGUCUCCACACAUCUCCUAGUCUUUGAACCUAUAUUGCCACUAUAGGGAUCUGGCGGGGUUAAAUUCCCAUAUACGCUAGCAUGUUAUUGAAUCGCUUUGGCCGGUGAUUCCACCUCUUUUCGGUGUG
Molecule: unclassified non-coding RNA, 293 nt
Filed under: Hevea brasiliensis (rubber tree)
Lineage: Eukaryota; Viridiplantae; Streptophyta; Magnoliopsida; Malpighiales; Euphorbiaceae
Source: RNAcentral